GGGGAGUUCGAGUCUCAGUAGAACCACCA
Molecule: unclassified non-coding RNA, 29 nt
Filed under: Dictyostelium discoideum
Lineage: Eukaryota; Evosea; Eumycetozoa; Dictyosteliales; Dictyosteliaceae
Source: RNAcentral